Acanthosepion pharaonis is the source of this 103-nucleotide non-coding RNA. The record is from the annotation of a GenBank genome assembly. Lineage: Eukaryota; Metazoa; Mollusca; Cephalopoda; Sepiida; Sepiidae.
AUCACGUUGAAACACCGGUGCUCAUGCCAUCACUGAAGUUAAGCAACGCCGAGCCUGGCCAGUACCAAAAUGGGCGACCGCUUGGGAAUACCGGCUGCUGUAA